UCACUGUGAUGAAUGGUCCAAACAUUCGCGGUUUCCACCAGAAUGUAAAGCAGUGUUGGCAAUUACCUUCCUUGGAUGUCUGAGUGA
This is a small nucleolar RNA of Cricetulus griseus (Chinese hamster), 87 nucleotides long. Its record names the gene SNORD14. It matches the Rfam family "Small nucleolar RNA SNORD14". From Rfam's summary of the family: U14 small nucleolar RNA (U14 snoRNA) is required for early cleavages of eukaryotic precursor rRNAs. In yeasts, this molecule possess a stem-loop region (known as the Y-domain) which is essential for function. Lineage: Eukaryota; Metazoa; Chordata; Mammalia; Rodentia; Cricetidae. The record is from Ensembl.